RNAcentral lists this long non-coding RNA (2279 nucleotides) under Carica papaya (papaya). Its description in RNAcentral is "long non-coding RNA (CPAP_LNC007609)". Lineage: Eukaryota; Viridiplantae; Streptophyta; Magnoliopsida; Brassicales; Caricaceae. The record is from RNAcentral.
GAGUUAAUAUGACGAUGUAAAUUUUAAACCUAAAAGAAAUGAAAAUUUCAAAAAGGAAGCAUAUAGGGCAAAAAGAAGGACCCAAUAUGAGCAAUUCACUAAAACUUAAAAUGCUUUCCUUCUAAUUUCAACUCCUGUACAUCAAUAGGUUCCACCCGCUCCAACAUAAGCACCAUUUAUGCCUAUUUGAUCUCCCUGCAGCAGAGUGACAAAAAAAUUGCAAGAGUUUAUUCUUAUUAUACCCAGGUCGAUUCAAGCAAGGAGAGAGAAUCAAACGUAAAAAGAGUUUAUUCUUAUUUCGACUUUUGCCUCUCCAGAAGUUCAAUGAACCUUUCAAAGUCUUUCUUUCUCUUUUACUUUCCAGAAUGAAUUGCCUUUCUUUUCUUUUCGUUAUCAAACUAGCCGUGUUACCUUCAAAUAUGUAAGAGUUGUUGGAUUUCAAAAUCUCCAGUAAAAGUGUUUGGUUAGUGACAAACGCUACUAAAAUUAAGAAUUAGAAAGAACAAUUAAUCAAACAUACAAAUGCAAAAGGGUUAAAAAAUAAACUAAGGAAUGAUGUGCACCAAAUAUACAACUAACAAAUCACAUAUAUACUACAAUUGAACUAACAGAUAACACCUAAAAGGAUUUCGGGUGUCUUGUACCAUAAAGCAAAAAUCUAUAAAAAUACCCCGAGUUGACCAACAUUUGAAAAUGUUAUAUUUUGCAUACAGUAAGACAGUUAACAAAAAAAUAAACUUUACCUCAAGAGUGUAUUUCUUCAUUUAAAGAGCAAAUACCCGAGCUAACCUCAGAUCUACUAUCAUAACCGAUAUUGUCUGUCGAUCCAUAAAGAAGUAAAGCUUAAGGUCCCUGCGACGAAGAAAAAGUGCAAGAUAGAAAACAAGUUCUGUGUCUGAUUUAUGCGUAUGGCAAAAGCAACACCUCUUCAUUUAAAGAGCAACACCUCUGGAACAUAUUCGUUAAAACUCUUGGUAUCAAUUUUAAAUUUUGAAAGUUAUGAAAACAUAAACGUAACAUCAGAAAUUGUUCAUGCCUUGACUGUUUUAGCGAUAGUUCUUAAUCAAUUUCUUGAAAUCAAUGCCCAAGUGCUCUCUUUAUGUAUUAUGUAUGUAUCCAUGUGUGUGUAAUUACGAAUAUACGUAUGUAUGUAUGCACCGCCCUCGAUCAUUUGGCACCACCUAAUUAGUCAACAAAGAAUACAUCUUGAGUUAAUAUGACGAUGUAAAUUUUAAACCUAAAAGAAAUGAAAAUUUCAAAAAGGAAGCAUAUAGGGCAAAAAGAAGGACCCAAUAUGAGCAAUUCACUAAAACUUAAAAUGCUUUCCUUCUAAUUUCAACUCCUGUACAUCAAUAGGUUCCACCCGCUCCAACAUAAGCACCAUUUAUGCCUAUUUGAUCUCCCUGCAGCAGAGUGACAAAAAAAUUGCAAGAGUUUAUUCUUAUUAUACCCAGGUCGAUUCAAGCAAGGAGAGAGAAUCAAACGUAAAAAGAGUUUAUUCUUAUUUCGACUUUUGCCUCUCCAGAAGUUCAAUGAACCUUUCAAAGUCUUUCUUUCUCUUUUACUUUCCAGAAUGAAUUGCCUUGCAAGUAUCUCAUUUUGAUAAACAAAACAAUUUAAAUUUAUGAUCAAAAAGAAAUCAAGAGUAUUAACUUGAACCAUUGAUAACAAACUCCCAAGAGAUUGAGUAGAAUUUGGAAUGCUUUUCUUCUUAUUUAAGUCCAGCAUAUUUAAAUGAAAAUUUCAGUCUGUUGUAAUUUAGGCAUUUGUUAUUAUCUUGCUGCAGCAUGAGUCCCAGAAAAAAUGUAAAGAAAAUCAAAGGUUAAAUGAUAAUAGGAAAAACUAGCAGCGUCCAUUCAAGAAAAGGAAAGGCAUGACCAAAACAUAGGAAUCUGUAUCACUCCAUGUAUCAAGAAAUGAUCAGCUGAGUGUUUCAUCCUUGCACCCACAGGUACCCACUGGAUUGCCAUACCAUAAUAUAUAUUAAACAAAGGAAAUCUUACAAUACAUCAUUAACGUGUUAGCUUAAAGCAAUUCUGGAAUGUAUUCUUCUAUGCAUAAGUAAGUAAAUGCACACCCACUUACACAAUCAUUUCACAGGCUUCAUUCUUUUUUCCAGAUACCUAAUUUUAUUCUCUCGAGUAAACUCAAGAAGCAAAGAACACCAACAUGCAUAAGAGACAAGCUAAUCGAAUAGUAUCCAAAUCUAACCUACGUAUUUAAAAUAAAAAGAGACAACCAAGAAGUUAAGGAUUUCCGAAGAACACAAACUCACAGUA